CCAUUUCGGCCCCAAAAAAGUUUUAUUUAAAUCCAAAAUGUUCAGACUCCAAAGUCAAAAUGGACAGCCGAGAUUGUACGAUUCCGUAAAAAAUUGGAAUUAUGGCCCCUCCCCGAAUAAGUCAAGUCUCUUCCUAAUAUUUGAUGAACUAAAUUUGGCGGGCCACGGCAGGUUCAGCCCAUUUAUGGCCCCAUUCGGAAACCAUACAUACCCUACCGAAAAUAAUGUCCUUAUCAUUGAAGUCCAUACCACCGUGUCAUUUCCGUUCAGCCCAUAAAAUACUCUAUCACAAGUUCACAACUAGCUAGAAGAAAAUCUUGCUUGGCGUGUAUGACUCUCUCUUAAUGGAUGACUUGUGAUUCUUGUCCUCUCUCUCUCUCUCCUCUGUUGCCGGCCAAGAAAAACCGAGCUCUCACACCAACUUUUCUAUACAUUAACCUACGGUCUCCUCUGCUCCAAAUUCCAUCCGUUCUCAAUCUUUGAUUUCAAUCUCUCCAUGUAGAAAUUCAGAAACUUCCUUUUGCCAACCGACAAGCUCCGGUAUUCAGUGCUGAACUUGUAAUCAAUGGGGAUUACCUGGUUCUCUGUGCUGAACUUCUAGGAUGCGUGUGAGCUCAGUACCGACUGUUGUUCUCCUUGCUGCGCAUCUGUGGUUUUAUCUUGCCAUCUCUCAAUUAUGAUCUUAUCAUUGCCAAUAUCAGAGGAAUUAGUUUCAGGGCAGUGAGGGCACAAUCUAAAAUUGCAACCAUUUUUAUCAAUGUGAUUUUAAACUUUCCACAUGAUAAUGUUGACUGAUAUAGUGUAAUUGUUUGUUAGUACUA
This is a long non-coding RNA of Rhododendron vialii, 821 nucleotides long. RefSeq lists it as uncharacterized. Lineage: Eukaryota; Viridiplantae; Streptophyta; Magnoliopsida; Ericales; Ericaceae. The transcript has 2 exons. The record is from RefSeq and is a predicted model, not a curated record.